Aethalodelphis obliquidens (Pacific white-sided dolphin) is the source of this 481-nucleotide long non-coding RNA. RefSeq lists it as uncharacterized. The transcript has 2 exons. NCBI's taxonomy places the organism in Eukaryota, Metazoa, Chordata, Mammalia, Artiodactyla, Delphinidae. The record is from RefSeq and is a predicted model, not a curated record.
GUUCCCAAAUCACCUUAGGCUGUAGCACCUGGGGGGCUCAUCUGUGUUUUUUUCACGCUUAUUGUGAUUUGUAGGACACUCUGGGAGCAAACAGAUACCAGGGUGAGGGCUGACAGGAAAGGAAGACCCAGAUGGCAGAUUCUCCGGCCACACAAGAGACUGACUACCUGUGCGAGCUGCACUGCCUGACAGUCAACAAACCUGUACUUCAGGCAAGGAUGUCCCACGAUUGUUUCUAGAUGUUAACUGCAGUGGCUCCCAGGAUUCCCAGCAUGUCUGUCUACUCCCUGAAAGCUCUUUGAGGGCUUCUCGUCAUUACAGUUCCCUGAGUUUUCACUCUUUCCUGGCAAGCCAUCUGACCUCUCUGCGCCGCAGCUGUGGUCACCAUCCGCCAACUCCAUCCAUCAAGACUAUUCAAAAUUGCAACCAGAAAUUUUGUUUCCGCAAAAUCUAGAAUUAAAAUUUUCUUUCCUUCAAACCU